GUCUGAUCGGUUCAAAUUGUUUCAGAUCUGUACACUUCUCGGUCAUGUUGAUAUCUUGAGAGACUUGGAUGGGUGUGUGUUGGUUUGGAGAGGUGGAAUUACUUGGAUUCCUUCUUGGUGGUUGGGGCUGCUGCUUGAGAGCUAGCAUCUGGUUAAGUUUGGACGGGCUGUUUCCCCCGUCUUUGGGUGCUUUUGGUGUACGUACGGUUGUGCUUGUGCUUGUUUUGUGUUUUGUUGUUUUUCUUUUCCUGCUUCUGUCCGACUGUCUUCCGUUGGGUUGUCCCUUUUUGGCCGGCUGGCUCUUAGUUUUUUCUAUGAUUUUUGUUUGGGUUUCUGUUUCGGGUUUUGGGGGCCGGUUAUCCUAGGGGCAAUGGUUCGGACGAGCCUCUGAGGUUGACUUUCCGCCCCUUCCCGUUUUGUUGUCUUUUGGUGCUUUUUCGUUGUUUGUUUGUUUUGGUCUGAGCUCUCUUUCUUGAGGCUCGUCCCUUAGUCUGCACCUGUGCUUUCAAGGGUUUUGUACUUUUUUUUUAUUUCUUUUCAAUAAAAUUUCUAUUUCAGCAG
This 561-nucleotide long non-coding RNA is filed under the name Salvia miltiorrhiza (redroot sage). Its description in RNAcentral is "long non-coding RNA (SMIL_LNC003452)". Lineage: Eukaryota; Viridiplantae; Streptophyta; Magnoliopsida; Lamiales; Lamiaceae. The record is from RNAcentral.